CCUACGGGUGGCAGCAGUGAGGAAUAUUGGUCAAUGGACGGGAGCCUGAACCAGCCAAGCCGCGUGCGGGAAGAAGGUACAGCGUGUUGUAAACCUCUUUUGUCAGAGGAUAAAGCUGGGUACGUGUAUUCAGCUGAGGGUACUUUACGAAAAAGCAUCGGCUAACUCCGUGCCAGCAGCCGCGGUAAUACGGAGGAUCCAAGCGUUAUCCGGAUUUAUUGGGUUUAAAGGGUGCGAAGGCGGUGUGUUAAGUCAGCGGUAAAAGCCCGGGGCUAAACCCCGGCGAGCCGUUGAAACUGGCGAGCUGGAGUUGGAGAGAAGUAGGCGGAAUGUGCGGGGUAGCGGUGAAAUGCUUAGAGAUCGCGCAGAACACCGAUUGCGAAGGCAGCGUACCAACUCAACACUGACGCUGAGGCACGAAAGCGUGGGUAUCGAACAGGAUUAGAUACCCCUGUAGUC
RNAcentral lists this ribosomal RNA (459 nucleotides) under uncultured bacterium. RNAcentral describes it as "partial 16S ribosomal RNA". It matches the Rfam family "Bacterial small subunit ribosomal RNA", at positions 338 to 795 of the family's 1533-position model. The record is from RNAcentral.